GAUGAACGCUGGCGGCGUGCCUAAUACAUGCAAGUCGAGCGAACGGACGAGAAGCUUGCUUCUCUGAUGUUAGCGGCGGACGGGUGAGUAACACGUGGAUAACCUACCUAUAAGACUGGGAUAACUUCGGGAAACCGGAGCUAAUACCGGAUAAUAUUUUGAACCGCAUGGUUCAAAAGUGGAAGACGGUCUUGCUGUCACUUAUAGAUGGAUCCGCGCUGCAUUAGCUAGUUGGUAAGGUAACGGCUUACCAAGGCAACGAUGCAUAGCCGACCUGAGAGGGUGAUCGGCCACACUGGAACUGAGACACGGUCCAGACUCCUACGGGAGGCAGCAGUAGGGAAUCUUCCGCAAUGGGCGAAAGCCUGACGGAGCAACGCCGCGUGAGUGAUGAAGGUCUUCGGAUCGUAAAACUCUGUUAUUAGGGAAGAACAUAUGUGUAAGUAACUGUGCACAUCUUGACGGUGCCUAAUCAGAAAGCCACGGCUAACUACGUGCCAGCAGCCGCGGUAAUACGUAGGUGGCAAGCGUUAUCCGGAAUUAUUGGGCGUAAAGCGCGCGUAGGCGGUUUUUUAGUCUGAUGUGAAAGCCCACGGCUCAACCGUGGAGGGUCAUUGGAAACUGGAAAACUUGAGUGCAGAAGAGGAAAGUGGAAUUCCAUGUGUAGCGGUGAAAUGCGCAGAGAUAUGGAGGAACACCAGUGGCGAAGGCGACUUUCUGGUCUGUAACUGACGCUGAUGUGCGAAAGCGUGGGGAUCAAACAGGAUUAGAUACCCUGGUAGUCCACGCCGUAAACGAUGAGUGCUAAGUGUUAGGGGGUUUCCGCCCCUUAGUGCUGCAGCUAACGCAUUAAGCACUCCGCCUGGGGAGUACGACCGCAAGGUUGAAACUCAAAGGAAUUGACGGGGACCCGCACAAGCGGUGGAGCAUGUGGUUUAAUUCGAAGCAACGCGAAGAACCUUACCAAAUCUUGACAUCCUUUGACAACUCUAGAGAUAGAGCCUUCCCCUUCGGGGGACAAAGUGACAGGUGGUGCAUGGUUGUCGUCAGCUCGUGUCGUGAGAUGUUGGGUUAAGUCCCGCAACGAGCGCAACCCUUAAGCUUAGUUGCCAUCAUUAAGUUGGGCACUCUAAGUUGACUGCCGGUGACAAACCGGAGGAAGGUGGGGAUGACGUCAAAUCAUCAUGCCCCUUAUGAUUUGGGCUACACACGUGCUACAAUGGACAAUACAAAGGGCAGCGAAACCGCGAGGUCAAGCAAAUCCCAUAAAGUUGUUCUCAGUUCGGAUUGUAGUCUGCAACUCGACUACAUGAAGCUGGAAUCGCUAGUAAUCGUAGAUCAGCAUGCUACGGUGAAUACGUUCCCGGGUCU
This 1371-nucleotide ribosomal RNA is filed under the name uncultured bacterium. RNAcentral's name for it is "bacterial SSU rRNA". It matches the Rfam family "Bacterial small subunit ribosomal RNA", at positions 28 to 1381 of the family's 1533-position model. The record is from RNAcentral.